This is a long non-coding RNA of Adelges cooleyi (spruce gall adelgid), 366 nucleotides long. RefSeq lists it as uncharacterized. The record is from RefSeq and is a predicted model, not a curated record. NCBI's taxonomy places the organism in Eukaryota, Metazoa, Arthropoda, Insecta, Hemiptera, Adelgidae. The transcript is spliced from 3 exons.
CUAGCGUAUGGUCUAUGAUAAAUAAAUUAAUAAUACAUUUUUGUUUUGGUCAAAUUAAUCAUGAACAAGCAACAGAGUUAUUUAGCCAUUGGGUUCUUUAUGGUUUUGGUAAUCAAAGUUAUUGCAGGGUUUCGAAUUAAUGACCCAACUAUUAGCUUCGAAACAGUUUUGAAAGAGGUACAAGCAAAAUAUAAACAAAUAACUAAAGAAAACAUUGAUAAAGUUGUAAAGGAUGGAGAGAAAACUCCAGGCUUUCCGGAUAUAAACCGUAAAGAAAUUAUCUAUUUUUUUCACGCCGCAAAAUUUGAUGUACAAAAAACUGUUAAAUUGAUAGUCGAUCAUUAUGAUGUUCGGAAAAAUUUACCA